GAUGAACGCUGGCGGCGUGCCUAAUACAUGCAAGUCGAGCGGACGGACGGUAAGCUUGCGUCUUUGAUGUUAGCGGCGGGCGGGUGAGUAACACGUGUAUCACCUACUUAUAUUUCUGGGAUAACUUCGGGAAACCGGAGCUAAUACCAGAUAAUAUUUUGAACCGCUGUGUGCAAAGGUGAAUGACGGCCUUGCUGUCUCUUAUAGCUGGUUCCGCUCUGCAUUAGCGAGUUGGUAAGGUAACAGCUUACCAAGGCUACGAUGCAUAGCCGACCUGAGAGGGUGAUCGGCCACACUGGAACUGAGACACGGUCCAGACUCCUACGGGAGGCAGCAGUGGGGAAUCUUGGGCAAUGGGCGCAAGCCUGACGGAGCAAUGCCGCGUGAGUGAAGAAGGCCUUCGGAUCGUAAAGCUCUGUUAUUGGGGAAGAACAUCUGUGGCAGUAGAUGUGGCCAUCUUGACGGUACCUAAUGAAAAAGCACCGGCUAACUACGUG
Molecule: ribosomal RNA, 497 nt
Filed under: uncultured bacterium
Lineage: Bacteria
Description: partial 16S ribosomal RNA
Rfam family: Bacterial small subunit ribosomal RNA
Source: RNAcentral